GUGCGCGCUCCUGGAGGAGUCAGAAGGGUGGGCGAGGACCGCUGCUCUUUGCGAAUUGACGGGCGGGAGUUGCUGAGGUUCGACGGUCAAGUGACCCCCUGGUGCAGCCUCUUCAAUCAAAUCUGCAAAGGAUCUGAGUCCUUUGGGGGUGUGAAAUGAAACAAGGUCUUGGCCUCCCCAGAUCCCAGCUCUCCUGGAGAAGAGGGGGCACCUCUGUUCUCCAGAGCCCGCCUCCAGGCAGGGCCACGCCAACACAGGUGCCGGGCCCUCAGAGAGCCAGCAGCCCUGACUCUGGACCAGACUUCCUUGCCUGGGACUCUGGAGGAUGCUCCCUUGCUGCUGGAGCUGCAGAAGCUGCCGGGAUUGGCCAACACAGACUUGAGUGCCCCGAACCCCAACAUCCAGGUGACCAUCGAGGUGGUGGAGGACCCCCAGGCUGAGGUGGAGAUGGACCUGAUGGCUGAGCCCAGCAAUCGCUGGCCCCAGGGCGCCCCCAACUGGCUGCCCACCAAGGAACUCUUCUGGCCCCUAUUCUGGGGCUACCUGGAGGGCGAGGAGGGGAGGACCAAUGUCAAGGGCAGAGCACCAGGGGAAGAGGAGGAAGUGGAGGAGGAGGGUUACCCUCCAGAGUACAGUGAGACUGAGGACCAGGAGGACGACGACGAGGAAGACGACGAUGACAAGGAGCCUGGGUUCAGUGGGGCCACAGGAGGCCUGGAGCAGGGCUGGCUGUCCCCUGGGGACUGGGCCUUCAAGGAGCCAGACAGCUAUGGUGAGCACCCCCAUCUUAGCUGCCCCCCAACCCCGACUGCUGCCCCUGGAGGUCCUGAGUGGAAACGGGAGCGAGCACUUCCUGAGCCCAGGUAGCUGGGAGGUCAGGCUUAGGUCUGAGCAAACGCCAUCAUCAGCUAAAUAACAACAUUACUUAUGGCUUGCAAAGGUUUUUUUUUUCCCCCUAAAUUGACCGUCACAACAGCCCUGAUACCUUCUAAGCAAAACAGGAAUUUGUUAAUAUAUAUAUUCCUAUCUAUCAGAUUCCAACAAAUUAAGAAAUGUUAUAAACAGCACCACUCACACUGACCUCAUUUUCAGACUGUGGAUUUGGAUCCUGGGUGAGGUACUUACCAGCUGAGUGAUUUUGGGCAAGUUACUUAACCUCUCUGUGACUCAGGUCUUUCCUCAGUAAAAUGGAGAUGGGCACAGCCCUUACUGACUAGGGUUGGGUGUAGAGAGUAGUGAGUUAAUACUUUUAAAGUGCUGGUACUGGAGUUCCCACAGCGGCUCAGUGGAAAUGAAUCCGACUAGGAACCAUGAGGUUGUGGGUUCGAUCCCUGGCCUUGCUUAAUGGGUUAAGGAUCUGGUGUUGUCAUGAGCUGUGGCAUAGGUCACAGACUCGGCUUGGAUCUGGUGUUGCUGAAGCUGUGGUGUAGGCUGGCAGCUGCAGCUGAUUCAACCCCUAGCCUGGGAACCUCCAUAUGCCGCAGGUGCGGCCCUAAAAAGCAAA
RNAcentral lists this long non-coding RNA (1504 nucleotides) under Sus scrofa (pig). RNAcentral describes it as "lncRNA (ENSSSCG00030031829.1)". Lineage: Eukaryota; Metazoa; Chordata; Mammalia; Artiodactyla; Suidae. The record is from RNAcentral.